GAUGAACGCUGGCGGCGUGCCUAAUACAUGCAAGUCGAGCGAAUGGAUUAAGAGCUUGCUCUUAUGAAGUUAGCGGCGGACGGGUGAGUAACACGUGGGUAACCUGCCCAUAAGACUGGGAUAACUCCGGGAAACCGGGGCUAAUACCGGAUAACAUUUUGAACCGCAUGGUUCGAAAUUGAAAGGCGGCUUCGGCUGUCACUUAUGGAUGGACCCGCGUCGCAUUAGCUAGUUGGUGAGGUAACGGCUCACCAAGGCAACGAUGCGUAGCCGACCUGCGAGGGUGAUCGGCCACACUGGGACUGGGACACGGCCCAGACUCCUACGGGAGGCAGCAGUAGGGAAUCUUCCGCAAUGGACGAAAGUCUGACGGAGCAACGCCGCGUGAGUGACGAAGGCUUUCGGGUCGUAAAACUCUGUUGUUAGGGAAGAACAAGUGCUAGUUGAAUAAGCUGGCACCUUGACGGUACCUAACCAGAAAGCCACGGCUAACUACGUGCCAGCCGCCGCUGUAA
This 515-nucleotide ribosomal RNA is filed under the name uncultured bacterium. RNAcentral's name for it is "partial 16S ribosomal RNA". It matches the Rfam family "Bacterial small subunit ribosomal RNA", at positions 28 to 523 of the family's 1533-position model. The record is from RNAcentral.